Molecule: ribosomal RNA, 450 nt
Filed under: uncultured bacterium
Lineage: Bacteria
Description: partial 16S ribosomal RNA
Rfam family: Bacterial small subunit ribosomal RNA
Source: RNAcentral
GUGGGGAAUUUUGGACAAUGGGCGCAAGCCUGAUCCAGCAAUGCCGCGUGCAGGAAGAAGGCCUUCGGGUUGUAAACUGCUUUUGUACGGAACGAAACGGCUCUGGUUAAUACCCGGGGCUAAUGACGGUACCGUAAGAAUAAGCACCGGCUAACUACGUGCCAGCAGCCGCGGUAAUACGUAGGGUGCAAGCGUUAAUCGGAAUUACUGGGCGUAAAGCGUGCGCAGGCGGUUUUGUAAGACAGGCGUGAAAUCCCCGGGCUCAACCUGGGAAUUGCGCUUGUGACUGCAAGGCUGGAGUGCGGCAGAGGGGGAUGGAAUUCCGCGUGUAGCAGUGAAAUGCGUAGAUAUGCGGAGGAACACCGAUGGCGAAGGCAAUCCCCUGGGCCUGCACUGACGCUCAUGCACGAAAGCGUGGGGAGCAAACAGGAUUAGAAACCCGUGUAGUCC